CUAAGGAUGAUCCUUCAGAGAGCUCACGCUCGCUAUCGGAUCGUUUUAGAAACAUUCAGGGGCCGAUCGAUCGAAAGAUCAUCGAGCUCCAUUGGCGGGAUUUCGCCGUCUUCGUUUCUCUUUCUUCGCGGACGAACACGCGCCAGGGCUUAGCGCUUGUGCGAUGCAUCGGCGCUUGAGCCGAUUGCGCGCGAGCAGGCUUCUGGUGUCAGGGGCUUGUAGCUCAGUUGGUUAGAGCGCGCGCUUGAUAAGCGUGAGGUCGGAAGUUCAAGUCUUCCCAGGCCCACCAAUUCCAAUCGAGUGCGUUGUUAUCAUCGAGAUGCACCUGACGACCGACGUGAGCAUUCGUCUUCUGGUUACGGGGCCAUAGCUCAGCUGGGAGAGCGCGUGCUUUGCAAGCAUGAGGUCGUCGGUUCGAACCCGUCUGGCUCCACCAGCCUUCGCUGGCUGCGCCAGCUACGGCUCGGCAAGCCGAUGAUAGCGAAGGCUGCCGUGUCGCAGCUCGAAAGAGCGAAGACGUGCUGUCGAGGCAAUUCGAUCAACGUCAAUCGUCCGCGAAACAUCACUUCGCAUGUGUGAUCCUCACCGGAUCACAACAUGCGUGUUAUCUGACAUCGUAAAGAGGAGAUCGAUCCGAGUUUGGAUCUGCGGAGCAAUUCGUGGAUGCCAUUCACUAUCUCCGGGAUCAUUUCGGCGCUCGCUGAUCGUGAGAUGAGCGGGUUGUAAAUGAUCCUUGUUGGCGAAGCCUGACCGCCUCGCCAUCGGUUCGAUCUCACGAAGCAAGCUGGUCUUUCUAGUCAAUGUCCGGCUGCGCAAAUGAGGCUUCGGUCUCAACAAGCGCGGCAUACAUUCUGCCGAGUGUGUGGACAUUGAUAAUGAGAGC
Molecule: transfer RNA, 883 nt
Filed under: Bradyrhizobium sp.
Lineage: Bacteria; Pseudomonadati; Pseudomonadota; Alphaproteobacteria; Hyphomicrobiales; Nitrobacteraceae
Description: partial 16S-23S ribosomal RNA intergenic spacer
Rfam family: tRNA (bases 213-286)
Source: RNAcentral